UACAGAGGGUGCGAACGUUGUUCGGAAUUACUGGGCGUAAAGCGCGUGUAGGCGGCAGCGUGUGUCGGGCGUGAAAUCCCACGGCUCAACCGUGGAAGUGCACUCGAAACUGCGCAGCUAGAGUCCUGGAGAGGAAGGUGGAAUGCUUGGUGUAGAGGUGAAAUUCGUAGAUAUCAAGCGGAACACCGGUGGCGAAGGCGGCCUUCUGGACCACAACUGACGCUGAGGCGCGAAAGCUAGGGGAGCAAACGGG
This 253-nucleotide ribosomal RNA is filed under the name uncultured bacterium. RNAcentral describes it as "partial 16S ribosomal RNA". It matches the Rfam family "Bacterial small subunit ribosomal RNA", at positions 524 to 776 of the family's 1533-position model. The record is from RNAcentral.